Molecule: ribosomal RNA, 512 nt
Filed under: uncultured bacterium
Lineage: Bacteria
Description: bacterial SSU rRNA
Rfam family: Bacterial small subunit ribosomal RNA
Source: RNAcentral
UCUGGUUCAGAACGAACGCUGGCGGCGCGUCUUAAGCAUGCAAGUCGAACGGCAAGAGGUAGCAAUACCUCCUAGAGUGGCGGACUGGUGAGUAACACGUGGGUGACAUACCCUUCAGAUGGGGAUAGCUAUUAGAAAUAGUAGAUAAUACCGAAUACGAGCACAGGGGUUAGAGAUCUGUGAGGAAAGGAGCUAAGGCUCCGCUGAAGGAAUGGCCCGCGGCCCAUUAGCUAGUUGGUGAGGUAAGAGCCCACCAAGGCGAUGAUGGGUAUCCGGCCUUAGAGGGUGAACGGACACAUUGGGACUGAGAUACGGCCCAGACUCCUACGGGAGGCAGCAGCUAAGAAUAUUCCGCAAUGGACGAAAGUCUGACGGAGCGACGCCGCCGUGGAUGAAGAAGGCCGGAAGGUUGUAAAAUCCUUUUGAAACUGAAGAAUAAGCGUUGUAGGGAAUGACAGCGUGGUGACAGUAGGUUUUGAAUAAGCAACGGCUAAUUACGUGCCAGCCGCGGC